This is a long non-coding RNA of Solanum tuberosum (potato), 265 nucleotides long. RefSeq lists it as uncharacterized. NCBI's taxonomy places the organism in Eukaryota, Viridiplantae, Streptophyta, Magnoliopsida, Solanales, Solanaceae. The transcript has 2 exons. The record is from RefSeq and is a predicted model, not a curated record.
CUUUCUUAAAAAAUUGGAUGAAGAUAUGAAUGAUUCUCCUUAAAGCUUCUUCUGCGAUUUUUAUCUAUUUAUGAUUUUCAGGAACUUUCUACCAAGCAUGAAGAUCAUUUAUGAGAACAAUGAAUGAUACAUAGAUAAUUGUGUCACAAUUUUGAGCAUUUUGCACAAGAUAAUGCAAUUUUUUGCUUUCAAGAUGUGUAUAAAAUAUAUUUAUCUAUAUGUAUAAUGAGGAUUAUUAAUAAAUAACUUCUCAUUCUAUUUAAAA